RNAcentral lists this ribosomal RNA (1407 nucleotides) under bacterium NLAE-zl-P407. RNAcentral describes it as "bacterial SSU rRNA". It matches the Rfam family "Bacterial small subunit ribosomal RNA". The record is from RNAcentral.
GGCUACCAUGCAAGUCGAGGGGCAGCAUUUCAGUUUGCUUGCAAACUGGAGAUGGCGACCGGCGCACGGGUGAGUAACACGUAUCCAACCUGCCGAUAACUCGGGGAUAGCCUUUCGAAAGAAAGAUUAAUACCCGAUGGNAUAAUCAGACCGCAUGGUCUUAUUAUUAAAGAAUUUCGGUUAUCGAUGGGGAUGCGUUCCAUUAGGCAGUUGGUGAGGUAACGGCUCACCAAACCUUCGAUGGAUAGGGGUUCUGAGAGGAAGGUCCCCCACAUUGGAACUGAGACACGGUCCAAACUCCUACGGGAGGCAGCAGUGAGGAAUAUUGGUCAAUGGGCGCAGGCCUGAACCAGCCAAGUAGCGUGAAGGAUGACUGCCCUAUGGGUUGUAAACUUCUUUUAUAUGGGAAUAAAGUUUUCCACGUGUGGAAUUUUGUAUGUACCAUAUGAAUAAGGAUCGGCUAACUCCGUGCCAGCAGCCGCGGUAAUACGGAGGAUCCGAGCGUUAUCCGGAUUUAUUGGGUUUAAAGGGAGCGUAGGUGGACAGUUAAGUCAGUUGUGAAAGUUUGCGGCUCAACCGUAAAAUUGCAGUUGAUACUGGCUGUCUUGAGUACAGUAGAGGUGGGCGGAAUUCGUGGUGUAGCGGUGAAAUGCUUAGAUAUCACGAAGAACUCCGAUUGCGAAGGCAGCUCACUGGACUGCAACUGACACUGAUGCUCGAAAGUGUGGGUAUCAAACAGGAUUAGAUACCCUGGUAGUCCACACAGUAAACGAUGAAUACUCGCUGUUUGCGAUAUACAGUAAGCGGCCAAGCGAAAGCAUUAAGUAUUCCACCUGGGGAGUACGCCGGCAACGGUGAAACUCAAAGGAAUUGACGGGGGCCCGCACAAGCGGAGGAACAUGUGGUUUAAUUCGAUGAUACGCGAGGAACCUUACCCGGGCUUAAAUUGCAUUUGAAUANUNUGGAAACAGNNUAGCCGNAAGGCAAAUGUGAAGGUGCUGCAUGGUUGUCGUCAGCUCGUGCCGUGAGGUGUCGGCUUAAGUGCCAUAACGAGCGCAACCCUUAUCUUUAGUUACUAACAGGUCAUGCUGAGGACUCUAGAGAGACUGCCGUCGUAAGAUGUGAGGAAGGUGGGGAUGACGUCAAAUCAGCACGGCCCUUACGUCCGGGGCUACACACGUGUUACAAUGGGGGGUACAGAAGGCAGCUACCUGGUGACAGGAUGCUAAUCCCAAAAGCCUCUCUCAGUUCGGAUCGAAGUCUGCAACCCGACUUCGUGAAGCUGGAUUCGCUAGUAAUCGCGCAUCAGCCAUGGCGCGGUGAAUACGUUCCCGGGCCUUGUACACACCGCCCGUCAAGCCAUGAAAGCCGGGGGUACCUGAAGUACGUAACCGCAAGAGCUCCUAG